This 813-nucleotide small RNA is filed under the name Pan troglodytes (chimpanzee). RNAcentral's name for it is "retained intron". Lineage: Eukaryota; Metazoa; Chordata; Mammalia; Primates; Hominidae. The record is from RNAcentral.
CGGUGGUCACCUCUGUGGCCUCAGUCACUGGCUCCUUGCGGGGCCUUUACUUGCCUGUGGGACAGCAGCCCCGGCCACCACCCCGGGCAGAGGUUGGCUGCAGGCAGGAGUGGCUAUUUUGGGAUAGGGGAGAGCCCCCCAGGAGUUGGGGACGGGUCCACCAGUCACCAGGAGUUGGGGACGGGUCCGCCAGUCACCAGGAGUUGGCAGCCGUCACUCACUGGCUUUCUCCCCCUACCCCCUCCUGCUCCGGCCCUCCAGACGCUGCUGCAGGACUUCUCCUACGAUGAGUCCAAAGUGGAGUUUGACGUGGACGCGCCCAGUGGGGUGGUGAUGGAGGGCUACCUCUUCAAGAGGGCCAGCAACGCUUUCAAGACGUGGAACCGGCGCUGGUUCUCCAUUCAGAACAGCCAGCUGGUCUACCAGAAGAAGCUCAAGGAUGCCCUCACCGUGGUGGUGGAUGACCUCCGCCUGUGCUCUGUGAAGCCGUGUGAGGACAUCGAGCGGAGGUUCUGCUUCGAGGUGCUGUCACCCACCAAGUGAGGAGGCCCAGCCCAGGGUGGGGUGGGGGGCGUACCUGCCCACCGGAGCUGACGCCCGCCCCUCCACUGCCUGCAGGAGCUGCAUGCUGCAGGCUGACUCCGAGAAGCUGCGGCAAGCCUGGGUCCAGGCUGUGCAGGCCAGCAUCGCCUCCGCCUACCGCGAGAGCCCUGACAGUUGCUAUAGCGAGAGGCUGGACCGCACAGCAUCCCCGUCCACGAGCAGCAUCGACUCCGCCACCGACACUCGGGAGCGCGGCGUGAAGGGCGAGAG